RNAcentral lists this transfer-messenger RNA (369 nucleotides) under Hyphomicrobiales bacterium. RNAcentral describes it as "Rhizobiales bacterium (bioreactor metagenome) transfer-messenger RNA". It matches the Rfam family "Alphaproteobacteria transfer-messenger RNA". Rfam says of the family: Bacterial tmRNA, also known as 10Sa RNA or SsrA, is named for its dual tRNA and mRNA-like properties. The record is from RNAcentral. Lineage: Bacteria; Pseudomonadati; Pseudomonadota; Alphaproteobacteria; Hyphomicrobiales.
UCCCUUUUCACGCCCAUCGCGAUCCCCUAUAUCUCCUCUGCCGGCGCAAGCCGGAUAUGGCGAUAAACGGCCAUCGUAAUAAACCCAUCGGACCCGGGGGCGGUACCCGGCGCCUCCACCCGAGCCCACCCCACCUUUUCGCGAGGCGGGUGGGCUCCGGCGGGGGCGAAAUAGGAUCGACGAGGGCGUAAAGGGUGGGCUUUUGCUCGGCAUGGUACCGCCGAUAUCGGGCCAAACUGAUAGUUGCGAAUGACAACUAUGCUCCGGUGGCCGUCGCCGCGUAAUGCGGUGCUGGUACCGAAUUCAAAGUCCUUGCGGGUAGCACUGUAAGGCGGGGUCCGGAGGCACCUGGCAACAGAAGCCUCCACU